UAUUCCCAGCUGGACAGAAAGCCCCUGAACCUGCUUGGAUGAUGAGGAAGACAAUGUAUUCCUGGGGACCCUUCGCAGGAAGAGGCAGCAAGUGGGAGCAAAUGGCCGGGGAAAAUGCAAGGAUGCUGCCCAAGGCCACGCACGAGGAGAGAAAGAAGCAGGAAUUGAAGAGGAGAGGGAAACUGAAAACCAUGGCAGGCAAAUUGCUAAAGGCUGUGGCUAGUGGGAAAGAGAUAGUGGAGGAGAAGGCUGGCGGUGAGGAUGUGGCAAGGAGUUUGCUGAAGAUGGAAACCAGUAGGAAGAGAGCGGGGGGAGAGAUGCCUGCAGAGGAAACCAUCUGUGGAUUCAUUGAGCAAGGAAAAUUUUUUGAAGCUUGUGAUUAUAUUUAUGAUCUGGAGCAUUCUGGUAAAGAUGGCAUGGAAAAGUCUGAAUCACUUUAUAUGCUACUGGCUGAACGAAUGUGGACUGUGGUGGGAGAAGCACUCAGUGGAAACGGUAGGAUGUUCCUGGAGCCAUUGCAGUCAGUAGGGGAAUCACUGAAGUGGGAGAAGCAGAAGGAAGCGGAGUUGCUUGGCAGCAGCCAAGAGACAAAGUCUGUUUCCACCUGGAGCCCAAACUUCUGGAGGAAAGAUCUGGAGGAAAAACUAAUACAGUACCUGACAGCCCAGAUUCCCAUGUUUUGUUCUUCUGAUAACACAGACGAGGAUGCACUAAAACAGCAUCUGAGUCAGCUGGAAACAACAUUUCUCCCCAGCCUGGAGCAAAGAAGCGAUGUCUUCAAGGAAGCAGGACUGCUCGUCACCUACGCCUGCUGCUGUCAUGCCUCUUUGUCUUCUCACCUUUCCACGCUUACUGACAGUAACCAUUUCAGCUUCAGCCAAUGUCUUUCAGUUUAUGAAUGGAGCCUUAAAAUGCACAAAAGUGGCAGCGAGACGUGUCUGAAUCCCAGGCAGAUCUCCCAGCACAGCCUUUCCCUUGGUGUGCAGUGUCUCAUGUGGAUUAUUUUGAAGACUGAGGAAAAGUUACUUGCAUUUGCCCGGGUAAGGACUCAGGAGUUUACCCUAAUCUGCCUGUUUUAUUCCCACAGUUGUAAAAUAAGGAAUGGCUUUGUUGAAUUAGCUGUUCCCUUGCUAGCUGAGCCAGCUCUGCUCAGGUAG
Molecule: long non-coding RNA, 1157 nt
Filed under: Falco tinnunculus (common kestrel)
Lineage: Eukaryota; Metazoa; Chordata; Aves; Falconiformes; Falconidae
Description: lncRNA (ENSFTIG00000002534.1)
Source: RNAcentral